GACGAACGCUGGCGGCGUGCUUAACACAUGCAAGUCGAACGGAAAGGCCCUGCUUUUGUGGGGUGCUCGAGUGGCGAACGGGUGAGUAACACGUGAGUAACCUGCCCUUGACUUUGGGAUAACUUCAGGAAACUGGGGCUAAUACCGGAUAGGAGCUCCUGCUGCAUGGUGGGGGUUGGAAAGUUUCGGCGGUUGGGGAUGGACUCGCGGCUUAUCAGCUUGUUGGUGGGGUAGUGGCUUACCAAGGCUUUGACGGGUAGCCGGCCUGAGAGGGUGACCGGCCACAUUGGGACUAAGAUACGGCCCAGACUCCUACGGGAGGCAGCAGUGGGGAAUAUUGCACAAUGGGCGGAAGCCUGAUACAGCAGCGCCGCGUGCGGGAUGACGGCCUUCGGGUUGUAAACCGCUUUCGCCUGUGACGAAGCGUUAGUGACGGUAAUGGGUAAAGAAGCACCGGCUAACUACGUG
RNAcentral lists this ribosomal RNA (468 nucleotides) under uncultured bacterium. RNAcentral describes it as "partial 16S ribosomal RNA". It matches the Rfam family "Bacterial small subunit ribosomal RNA", at positions 28 to 507 of the family's 1533-position model. The record is from RNAcentral.